AACGAACGCUGGCGGCAGGCCUAACACAUGCAAGUCGAGCGCUGUAGCAAUACAGAGCGGCGCACGGGUGAGUAACACGUGGGAACGUGCCCUUUGGUUCGGAAUAACUCAGGGAGACUUGAGCUAAUACCGGAUGAGCCCUAACGGGGAAAGAUUUAUCGCCGAAGGAGCGGCCCGCGUCGGAUUAGCUAGUUGGUGGGGUAAUAGCCUACCAAGGCAACGAUCCGUAGCUGGUUUGAGAGAACGACCAGCCACACUGGGACUGAGACACGGCCCAGACUCCUACGGGAGGCAGCAGUGGGGAAUCUUGGACAAUGGGGGAAACCUUGAUCCGGCCAUGCCGCGUGAGUGAUGAAGGCCCUAGGGUUGUAAAACUCUUUCGGCGGGGACGAUAAUGACGGUACCCGCAGAAGAAGCUCCGGCUAACUUCGUGCCAGCAGCCGCCGUAA
Molecule: ribosomal RNA, 449 nt
Filed under: uncultured bacterium
Lineage: Bacteria
Description: partial 16S ribosomal RNA
Rfam family: Bacterial small subunit ribosomal RNA
Source: RNAcentral